This 202-nucleotide long non-coding RNA is filed under the name Elaeis guineensis (African oil palm). RNAcentral's name for it is "long non-coding RNA (EGUI_LNC015807)". The record is from RNAcentral. Lineage: Eukaryota; Viridiplantae; Streptophyta; Magnoliopsida; Arecales; Arecaceae.
UUAUGGGAUCACACCAAUAAAAAAAAUAUUAUGAGUUGUCAUGUGAUCACCUAAAAUCAUUCUAACACUCCUCCUCAAACUCAAGAUAACAUUACGGAUGUCAACUUGAGUUUGAAAAUUAGAUCAUGAAUGCACUCAAAAGUCAGUAUGAUAAACUAAUAUGUCUGUUGGUGUGGCUAAUUGAAAUGACAUGAUUGUAAGA